This 492-nucleotide ribosomal RNA is filed under the name uncultured bacterium. Its description in RNAcentral is "partial 16S ribosomal RNA". It matches the Rfam family "Bacterial small subunit ribosomal RNA", at positions 28 to 507 of the family's 1533-position model. The record is from RNAcentral.
GAUGAACGCUAGCUACAGGCUUAACACAUGCAAGUCGAGGGGAAACGACAUCGAAAGCUUGCUUUUGAUGGGCGUCGACCGGCGCACGGGUGAGUAACGCGUAUCCAACCUGCCCACCACUUGGGGAUAACCUUGCGAAAGUAAGACUAAUACCCAAUGAUAUCUCUAGAAGACAUCUGAAAGAGAUUAAAGAUUUAUCGGUGAUGGAUGGGGAUGCGUCUGAUUAGCUUGUUGGCGGGGUAACGGCCCACCAAGGCAACGAUCAGUAGGGGUUCUGAGAGGAAGGUCCACCACAUUGGAACUGAGACACGGUCCAAACUCCUACGGGAGGCAGCAGUGAGGAAUAUUGGUCAAUGGACGAGAGUCUGAACCAGCCAAGUAGCGUGCAGGAAGACGGCCCUAUGGGUUGUAAACUGCUUUUAUAAGGGAAUAAAGUGAGUCUCGUGAGACUUUUUGCAUGUACCUUAUGAAUAAGGACCGGCUAAUUCCGUG